UGGGGAAUAUUGCACAAUGGGCGCAAGCCUGAUGCAGCCAUGCCGCGUGUAUGAAGAAGGCCUUCGGGUUGUAAAGUACUUUCAGCAGUGAGGAAGGUGGUAGUGUUAAUAGCACUAUCAUUUGACGUUAGCUGCAGAAGAAGCACCGGCUAACUCCGUGCCAGCAGCCGCGGUAAUACGGAGGGUGCGAGCGUUAAUCGGAAUUACUGGGCGUAAAGCGCAUGCAGGUGGUUUGUUAAGUCAGAUGUGAAAGCCCGGGGCUCAACCUCGGAAUUGCAUUUGAAACUGGCAGACUAGAGUACUGUAGAGGGGGGUAGAAUUUCAGGUGUAGCGGUGAAAUGCGUAGAGAUCUGAAGGAAUACCGGUGGCGAAGGCGGCCCCCUGGACAGAUACUGACACUCAGAUGCGAAAGCGUGGGGAGCAAACAGG
Molecule: ribosomal RNA, 429 nt
Filed under: uncultured bacterium
Lineage: Bacteria
Description: bacterial SSU rRNA
Rfam family: Bacterial small subunit ribosomal RNA
Source: RNAcentral